UGUUAUUAUAAGGGAAGGUAAAUGAUUAUCAAGACUCCAACAAACACUACUAAUCCAGGAGGUUACUAUGGAAGAGAUUGUUGAAGCUAUCAAGGAGAUGCCUAAGGACAAAGCACCUGGAGUGGAUGGAUUUCCGAUUGAAUUUUUAACCAAACACUGGGACAUAGUUAAGGAGGACAUCUUUGCUGUUGUGAAGGAAUUUUUCAAUACUUGCAGAUUACCUCAUAUGGUCAAUACUACUGCCUUAGCUCUAAUUCCCAAGGACAAAACACCAACAGCUGUGAAGGACUACAGACCUAUAGCCUGCUGUACUACACUGUACAAGAUCAUUUCCAAAAUCAUCACUAGUAGGAUGAAAGCUGUGAUAGGUGACUUGGUAGGGCAAGCCCAAUCUGCAUUCAUUGAGGGCAGAAGUAUACUGGGCAACAUCAUACUCAGUCAUGAAAUUUUCAAAGGCUAUUCUAGAAAAGAGGUAUCCCCUAGAUGUGUCUUGAAGGUGGAUUUGAGGAAAGCAUAUGACACAUUGGAUUGGAGGUAUCUUAAGCAAGUACUAGCUGACCUGGGCUUUCCUGCUAUCUUUGUGCAAUGGGUAAUGGAGUGUGUCACAACUGUCUCUUACUCACUCAUGCUUAAUGGUGGACUCACAAAGCCUUUCAAAGCUAAAAGGGGUAUUAGACAAGGUGGCCUUAUGUCACCCUACCUAUUUGUAUUGGCCAUGGAAUACCUCAACAGGAUUAUGGAGAAACUGCACAGAAAUGGUGACUUCAAUUUUCACCCAAAGUGCAGGAAGCUUAACUGUACACAUGUUUGCUUUGCUGAUGACCUACUGAUGUUUUGUAGAGCUGAUUUGGUGUCUGUCAAGAUCCUAAAGGAAGCCUUCCUCAAAUUACUGAUGACCUGCUAAUGUUUUGUAGAGCUGAUCUGGUAUCUGUCAAGAUCCUAAAGGAAGACUUUCUCAAGUUCUCUAAUGCCUCAGGAUUGCAAGCAAAUCUGCCAAAGAGUGCAUUGUAUAUAGCUGGAACUACACAGGCUGAUAAGGUUCAGAUUCUGGAAGCAUUGGGAUUCAUUGAAGGUAAAUUGCCUUUCAGAUACCUGGGAAUCCCCCUUGACUCAAAAAAACUAUCUGUUGGCCACUAUCUACCAAUUAUUGAGAAGAUCACAGCUAAAGUAACAUGCUGGUCUGCUAGGAUGCUUCCUAUGCUGGAAGAUGUCAGCUCAUCAAAUCAGCCAUAUUUGGCAUUCAAACUUAUUGGGCUCAAGUGUUUAUCCUUCCUAAGAAAGUGUUGAAAGC
Molecule: long non-coding RNA, 1291 nt
Filed under: Nicotiana benthamiana
Lineage: Eukaryota; Viridiplantae; Streptophyta; Magnoliopsida; Solanales; Solanaceae
Description: long non-coding RNA (NBEN_LNC032572)
Source: RNAcentral